RNAcentral lists this long non-coding RNA (545 nucleotides) under Oncorhynchus mykiss (rainbow trout). RNAcentral describes it as "lncRNA (ENSOMYG00000061900.1)". The record is from RNAcentral. Lineage: Eukaryota; Metazoa; Chordata; Actinopteri; Salmoniformes; Salmonidae.
GCUACAACAACAUUGUGACAUGUCUGGGGGUCCCAGAGGAGAAGUUUGAGAACGGCUCUCCUAAAUACUCUUCAUAGGAAUCAGUUAGUAUGUGCAGUACUGAGAAGUGAUCUAGACUCAUAUCAGUGAAUAGGAGUGGAUCCUGUUUGGUACAUUAGGGUAAGAAAGGCAAAGUCUCUACUAAAGGUUUUACUCCUAAAUAUCCACGUCAACAUUUUCUCUUGACCCUCUCUUUGCAGAACACUGCGCCAUACUCACCUUUUUAGCUCUGGAAGCAAAAUGCAGAGGAUGCUUCAACAGAAACUGAGCUGCAUUCUUGCUUCUGUAAAGAUUCAUCCUAGGACCUAACAAAGAGUUCCCUCGCAGGCUCCCAGCCAGGAUCCCCUCCCUCCAAAUGGACUAAAACCAUUACAUCAACGACGACUGACUGGAUUACCUGUGACCACAAAAAGGAUAUCCUCUGAAAUAAAACAGCUUUUCUAGCGUGGUGCCAAGGGUUUUAGACCAGACUAAUCCCCUUUUUGAUCAAUGAGCCUCACGUCGGU